RNAcentral lists this ribosomal RNA (253 nucleotides) under uncultured bacterium. RNAcentral's name for it is "partial 16S ribosomal RNA". It matches the Rfam family "Bacterial small subunit ribosomal RNA", at positions 524 to 776 of the family's 1533-position model. The record is from RNAcentral.
UACGUAGGGGGCGAGCGUUGUCCGGAAUCAUUGGGCGUAAAGCGCGUGUAGGCGGCUCGUUAAGUCCGGUGUGAAACCUUGGGGCUCAACCCCAAGCCUGCACUGGAUACUGACGAGCUCGAGUCCGGGAGGGGAGAGCGGAAUUCCUAGUGUAGCGGUGAAAUGCGCAGAUAUUAGGAAGAACACCGGUGGCGGAGGCGGCUCUCUGGAACGGUACUGACGCUGAGACGCGAAAGCGUGGGGAGCGAACAGG